Nannospalax galili (Upper Galilee mountains blind mole rat) is the source of this 473-nucleotide long non-coding RNA. RefSeq lists it as uncharacterized. The record is from RefSeq and is a predicted model, not a curated record. NCBI's taxonomy places the organism in Eukaryota, Metazoa, Chordata, Mammalia, Rodentia, Spalacidae. The transcript is spliced from 4 exons.
AGCCUGGCAGCUGUGUCCUCAGAGGCAAUUCCACAUGGUGUAAACCAGUUCUGACUCAAGUCCUGUCCUGGGCUGCAGCCUGUCACAGCAUACAAUGGAACUUUCAGUGUGCGGUCUAAGACCAGGCCUCACACAUGCUCACAGUUUCUACUGAUACCUUCUUAGGAUAACAUCUUUAGAACAAAAGGCUGCAUGGACAGAGAGGCCAAGUCAGCCAUUCCAGCAGAACUCAGUCAUGAGCCAAUCCAGCAGCUGAAUGUGGCUGUGCGAAUGAACCUGGAACCUGCCUCAGCUCCUAGCAGAGCAUAAGACUCCCAGAACACACAGUCAUCCUCGUGGCAAGAAGCUGUUGGCGCCAACAACCUCAGCACCACGUCUGACAUGCUAAAUUCCGGUUUUGCCGUGCAUUCUAAUGAUUACGGAAAGAUGCCCAGUCUUGUUGAACCGGGGGCCCUCCCACGCUCCCCAACCUU